RNAcentral lists this non-coding RNA (128 nucleotides) under Amazona collaria (yellow-billed parrot). The record is from RNAcentral. Lineage: Eukaryota; Metazoa; Chordata; Aves; Psittaciformes; Psittacidae.
AGGUCACUUAAGAAGCUAACAGGUUAGCACUCCCCUUGAUAAGGAUGGAAGAGGCCCUUGUGGCCUAUACAACACGUGUAUGGUUAAGGCACUGUCACCUACUUCAUGGCAUCUAACCAUUCUACUAU